RNAcentral lists this ribosomal RNA (169 nucleotides) under Chromis viridis (blue green damselfish). RNAcentral describes it as "partial small subunit ribosomal RNA". Lineage: Eukaryota; Metazoa; Chordata; Actinopteri; Pomacentridae. The record is from RNAcentral.
CACCGCGGUUAUACGAGAGGCUCAAGUUGACAGUCAACGGCGUAAAGAGUGGUUAAGGAAACCUAAAAACUAAAGCCGAACGCCCUCAGAACUGUUAUACGUUUCCGAAGGUAUGAAGCCCCACUACGAAAGUGACUUUACUCCCCCUGACCCCACGAAAGCUGUGAAA